UCGACCUUAGUUGCCAGCAUUCAGUUGGGCACUCUAAGGUCGACUGCCGGCUAAAAGUCGGAGGAAGUGGGAUGACGUCAAUCAUCAUGCCCCUUAUGACCUGGGCUACACACCGUGCUGCAAUGGGCGGUACAAAGGGUCGCGAACCCGCGAGGGGGAGCCAAUCCCAAAAAGCCGCUCUCAGUUCGGAUUGCAGGCUGCAACUCGCCUGCAUGAAGCCGGAAUCGCUAGUAAUCGCGGAUCAGCAUGCCGCGGUGAAUACGUUCCCGGGUCUU
RNAcentral lists this ribosomal RNA (275 nucleotides) under uncultured Anoxybacillus sp. RNAcentral describes it as "partial 16S ribosomal RNA". It matches the Rfam family "Bacterial small subunit ribosomal RNA", at positions 1105 to 1382 of the family's 1533-position model. Lineage: Bacteria; Bacillati; Bacillota; Bacilli; Caryophanales; Anoxybacillaceae. The record is from RNAcentral.